UGCAGGGUGGCAUAGUGGGUAGAGCAGGUGCUUCAUAUGCAGAAGCUACAGUCCUUGCUGCAGUCAGCCCUGGUUCAAAUCCCGCACCGUGCGG
Molecule: non-coding RNA, 94 nt
Organism: Caranx melampygus (bluefin trevally)
Lineage: Eukaryota; Metazoa; Chordata; Actinopteri; Carangiformes; Carangidae
Source: the annotation of a GenBank genome assembly